ACCACACCAAAUUCAACAUUAAGGGCCAACCCUGACCACAGCUGAGCCGUGUGAAGAGGCUGACAGCGGCGUGGCCACCACCCAGGAUGGAGAGAAAGGCACUGUGAGGUGUUAAUGGAAAAAUCCAACUUCCUUUUCUUCCAAAGAUGAUGACUGAAACCAAAGUGGAGCUUUCCCUUGUGAAGUGAAAGCAAAGUUUUAAAAUUUUUUCUCCUCUGCAAGAAAAUAUAUUUCAGAAAAUCUCUAUCUCAAAAAUGAAGCAAUUAAGAACUGUCUGGCUGUGAGGAUCUGGCCUCAACUUGACUUAAAGCAACAACUUCAGUUACAUAUCAAGAUGAAACUUUCUGAGAUGCAAGUGGGUGUUAAAUGGUUCAGCAAAGCCAAGCCAGAGCAGUUGGUGUGCUUUGAAAUGAAGCAACAUUGGAAAAAUGAAAUCUACUGAAAGAUCACUACGUGUUUCAAAGGCCUUCAGACUCAGACUGGAACUGCACCGUUGGCUCUCCUGGGUGGGUCUCCAGCUUGCUGACCACAGACCUUGAGACUUCUCAGCCUUUAGAAUCAUGGAAGCCAAUUCCUUAUAAUAAUAUAUAUCCUUUUCCUAGUCUGUGGACUUUUCCCAGCUCCAGACAGACAACCUUCUAUAAACUCCAGGAUGCUCCAUCAAUGCCGUCUGGACUCUACAGAUUUUGACCCUGAAGUAAAGUAGGAAAGGCUAUGAGGACAUGUUAAAUGUUGUACUACCGCCUGAAGCCUUUUCUUCUUUAAAUUUUUCAACAAGAGUUGAAUGCACACGUGGAGCUUAAUUGGACAACAACUUUUCUCCUCUUCUGUGGGAUCCCGUCAGUGCUUUAAGCAAUGAGAAGGCAGCUCAUUUCCAAGUUUGUGUGGUAAAUUUGGGGCAAGUGGGAGAAAAGAAAGAAAGGCUGAGUCUUAUAGGGUGUGAUUUGGUUCUAGACAUGCUUAUGUUACUUUUUAUAAGAUUAUCCAUUUGACUAGAUUUCUUUCCUGCUGACAAAAGAGGCAAUUUCUACAUAUAAAAUAAAUCUGAUUAAAACUCUU
This 1059-nucleotide long non-coding RNA is filed under the name Homo sapiens (human). Its description in RNAcentral is "long intergenic non-protein coding RNA 2997". The record is from RNAcentral. Lineage: Eukaryota; Metazoa; Chordata; Mammalia; Primates; Hominidae.